RNAcentral lists this ribosomal RNA (492 nucleotides) under uncultured bacterium. Its description in RNAcentral is "partial 16S ribosomal RNA". It matches the Rfam family "Bacterial small subunit ribosomal RNA", at positions 29 to 507 of the family's 1533-position model. The record is from RNAcentral.
AGUGAACGCUGGCGGUAGGCCUAACACAUGCAAGUCGAACGGCAGCACAGUAAGAGCUUGCUCUUACGGGUGGCGAGUGGCGGACGGGUGAGGAAUACAUCGGAAUCUACUUUUUCGUGGGGGAUAACGUAGGGAAACUUACGCUAAUACCGCAUACGACCUACGGGUGAAAGCAGGGGAUCUUCGGACCUUGCGCGAUUGAAUGAGCCGAUGUCGGAUUAGCUAGUUGGCGGGGUAAAGGCCCACCAAGGCGACGAUCCGUAGCUGGUCUGAGAGGAUGAUCAGCCACACUGGAACUGAGACACGGUCCAGGCUCCUACGGGAGGCAGCAGUGGGGAAUAUUGGACAAUGGGCGCAAGCCUGAUCCAGCCAUACCGCGUGGGUGAAGAAGGCCUUCGGGUUGUAAAGCCCUUUUGUUGGGAAAGAAAAGCAGCAGGUUAAAACCCCGCUGUUCUGACGGUACCCAAAGAAUAAGCACCGGCUAACUUCGUG